This is an RNA transcript of Manduca sexta (tobacco hornworm), 901 nucleotides long. RefSeq lists it as uncharacterized. The record is from RefSeq and is a predicted model, not a curated record. The transcript is spliced from 2 exons. NCBI's taxonomy places the organism in Eukaryota, Metazoa, Arthropoda, Insecta, Lepidoptera, Sphingidae.
UCACUCAAAUUUGACACUUGUCUCGUGUUUGUGUUUAUGUUCGUUAUUUUCAUUGCCUAAUUAAUAAUUAUUUAUUGACAAUUUAUCUAUUUCUUCCGUAAAUUAUAGUAAACGAUCUGUUAUUGAUAUUGGGUUAUUAAGUAUAGUAACCGUGGCUACGAACGGCACGCCCCAAGACCCAUGCAAAACGUUCAGUUCUAAGAAAGAGCAGUUAAAAACCUUCAGAAUGUCAAGAUUCCGAUUCGGUCGACAGCACGACGGCUAUCGUCUAAUAUCGAAUGAUGACAGCGGAUUCUCCGACGCUCAGUUUGAAGUGCCUCCUCCAAAAAUACCCUGGAAAGCUAUCAGUUUGGCUGCCUUCUUGUUUGUAGUUGGAACAGUAUUGCUUAUAGCUGGCAGUCUGAUAGUAACAGGUCAUAUAGACUACAAGUACUCGGACAGACUGUGGCCAAUGAUAGUGUUGGGAGGCAUAAUGUUCCUGCCAGGAGCCUAUCAUAUUAGGAUAGCAUAUUAUGCAUACAAAGAGUACCCUGGGUACAGUUUCACUGACAUUCCUGAAUUUGAAUGAUAGGAUCACCAGUUACUUUCCUAUAGAUUUGCUUAUUUGAUUUUGGCCUGACUUUUAAAAGAUGUUUACUUAUUUAAAGUUAUAAGUGUAGAAUUUUUUAUAAAAUGGUUAAAUAAUUUUGGCUUCAUAUAGGUACUUUUAUUAUAAAUUUUAAUUAACUUUACAUUUAUAACAUGUUUACACUUAUUGAUGCAGUAGUACCUCCAUUUUAAACCAUAUUGUGGUUAUUAGAAAUACACAUUGGUAUUCAGUUUAGUUUCCUAUGUAGAUAUAAUGUAUUUUAUUUAGUCAUUGUUUUCCCAAUACACAUGUAAAUAAAAUAUUAAUGAUUUA